CGAACGGGGUAUAUAAGCGGAAGUUUGCGGAUGGAAGGUUAUAUACUUAGUGGCGGACGGGUGAGUAACGCGUGGGCAACCUGCCCCGUGCCGGGGGAUACCGCCUGGAAACAGGCGCUAAUACCGCAUAAGCGCAUACAGCCGCAUGGGUGUAUGCGGAAAGCUCCGGCGGCACGGGAUGGGCCCGCGCCCGAUUAGCCAGUUGGCGGGGUAACGGCCCACCAAAGCGACGAUCGGUAGCCGGCCUGAGAGGGCGGACGGCCACAUUGGGACUGAGACACGGCCCAAACUCCUACGGGAGGCAGCAGUGGGGAAUAUUGCACAAUGGGGGAAACCCUGAUGCAGCAACGCCGCGUGGGUGAAGGAGCGUUUCGGCGCGUAAAGCCCUGUCAGCGGGGAAGAAGAAAGACGGUACCCGACCAAGAAGCCCCGGCUAACUACGUGCCAGCAGCCGCGGUAAUACGUAGGGGGCGAGCGUUAUCCGGAAUUACUGGGUGUAAAGGGAGCGUAGACGGCGAGGUAAGCCUGAAGUGGAAGCCCGCGGCCCAACCGCGGAACUGCUUUGGGAACUGUUUUGCUGGAGUAUGGGAGGGGUAAGCGGAAUUCCUGGUGUAGCGGUGAAAUGCGUAGAUAUUAGGAGGAACACCAGUGGCGAAGGCGGCUUACUGGACUGUAACUGACGUUGAGGCUCGAAAGCGUGGGGAGCAA
RNAcentral lists this ribosomal RNA (708 nucleotides) under uncultured bacterium. RNAcentral's name for it is "bacterial SSU rRNA". It matches the Rfam family "Bacterial small subunit ribosomal RNA", at positions 45 to 771 of the family's 1533-position model. The record is from RNAcentral.